Molecule: ribosomal RNA, 253 nt
Filed under: uncultured bacterium
Lineage: Bacteria
Description: partial 16S ribosomal RNA
Rfam family: Bacterial small subunit ribosomal RNA
Source: RNAcentral
UACAGCGGUCUCACGCGUUGUUCGGAUUCAUUGGGCGUAAAGGGUGUGUAGGUGGCGCCGUUAGUCGGGUGUGAAAUUUCGGAGCUUAACUCCGAAACUGCAUUCGAUACUGCGGUGCUUGAGGACUGGAGAGGAGACUGGAAUUCAUGGUGUAGCAGUGAAAUGCGUAGAGAUCAUGAGGAAGACCAGUGGCGAAGGCGGGUCUCUGGACAGUUCCUGACACUGAGGCACGAAGGCCAGGGGAGCAAACGGG